This is a small nucleolar RNA of Dasypus novemcinctus (nine-banded armadillo), 137 nucleotides long. Lineage: Eukaryota; Metazoa; Chordata; Mammalia; Cingulata; Dasypodidae. The record is from Ensembl.
AUGCCAGCCUCCAGCGUGCUUGGGUCUGCAGUGAAACCCUGUGCAUUGCUACAGUGCUUGCAAGAACAGUUUUGAAAUGGUUUGAGACCUUGCUCUGCUCUGUCUACAGAGCAAGAUAAUAGAAAUUUCAGACAAUU